CUGGUAACACCCAUCCCUCUCCACAAACAUAGCUGUUUGUGUAGUGGACUCGUGGCUGUCCCUCCCAGACUGUGACCUCUGGAGAGCAGAGCCUGGAGUCCCGUGGCACUGUCCCUGGCUGCACGCUCCUCGUGGCUGGACUAGCGGCUCAGGAAGGACUCAGGGAGGGUUUUACCAAUACAGGAGCCUUAGGUGACUUUCCUGAGUCCACCCCGUGAGACUAUGACGUGGGACCAGCACGGUGGUCCCCCAGCACUCAGAGCUAGGAUACGAAAAUGUCCGUUAAGUGAAUGAAUGCGUGAACACAGGGUUGCAUGAGUAUCAUCCGCAGAACCAAGAGAUGAUAAGUGCUCCUUCCUGGGCUUCCCUGUGGCUCAGCAGUAAAAAAUCCUCCUGCCAACACAGGAGACACGGGUUCGAUCCCUGGUCCGGGAAGAUUCCACACGCCGUGGAGCAACGUGCAGAGCCUGUGUGCCACCACUACUGAGCCUGCGCUCCAGAGCCCUGCAACAGGGGAGCCACCACAAUGAGAAACUCCCGCUCCGCAAGGAAGAGUAGCCUCCACUCGCUGCAACCAGAGAAAAGCCUGCGUCGCCGUGAAGACCCAGCACAACCAAAAAGAAAUAAACACCUUAAACGUCCAUACAGCCACAGGCUCACACCGACUUCAAGAUCAUUCCGAAAAUGCAGUUUCUGUGUACGAGAUGGGGCUCUGUGGUCCGGAGCCACAACCACGUGCCUCAGCCAUCUGACAGCGUUGGCUUCCGUGCCAGGUUCCAGACCCUGGAGAAAAGGGCUCAGAAAUGCCCGACAAAGCCCUCCCACCAGGCUCCAGGCCCCGCCUCCAACAGGACUUCUUCCCGGGGAAUCGCAUCUCUGUUAGGCAGGCCACCCGGGGACAAGGUUCCAGAUUGCAGCAACCCCGCUGGGAUGGGGGGAACGCAUGUGGAAGGGCUGGGGGUCCAAGAAGCUCCCAGAAGGAGAAGAGUGGAGUCCAGGUGGUGAAGAAAGUGGGCUGUGGAGCUGGACAGCAAGGGGGUGGGGUUCAAGUCUCAGCCACUCCAGUCCAUCACCUGAGAACCCUGGACUCUUGACUGCAUCCCUCUAAGCCUCCGUGUUCUCACCUGGGAAGUGGGGAUGACGGUGGUACCUGCUGCACAGAGGUGUUGCCAGGAUUCAGUGAGAUGCUGAGAUUCCCAUGCUUGACACGGGGCUCUGCGUGGAUCUUCAGCACACUAGAUGUUCUCACGAGUGAUAAAGGGAGGAAAUGAUAACUCAGCAGUUGCUGUGAGCCAGGCUGGGGGCCACGUCUUUGGUAUAUACUGUCCCGCACCAUCCUCACAGCAGCCUGUUUGAAAGAGGAGGACAUGGAGG
RNAcentral lists this long non-coding RNA (1374 nucleotides) under Capra hircus (goat). RNAcentral's name for it is "lncRNA (ENSCHIG00000007007.1)". The record is from RNAcentral. Lineage: Eukaryota; Metazoa; Chordata; Mammalia; Artiodactyla; Bovidae.